This is a non-coding RNA of Neofelis nebulosa (Clouded leopard), 1205 nucleotides long. NCBI's taxonomy places the organism in Eukaryota, Metazoa, Chordata, Mammalia, Carnivora, Felidae. The record is from the annotation of a RefSeq genome assembly.
AGGGGAAGUCUGCUCAGCUGUGGGGCACAGCAGACAGGACUGGUGAUGGUCUCCACCAUGUCCUGGUCUCCUGUCCUUCUCACCCUCUUCACUCACUGCACAGGGUCCUGGGCCCAGUCUGUACUGACUCAGCCAUCCUCGGGGUCGGGUUCCUUGGGCCAGAGGGUCACCAUCUCCUGCACUGGAAGCAGCUCCCACAUCAGUAGCAAUUUUGUGAGCUGGUACCAACAACUCCUAGGCAAAACCCCCAAAACCAUAAUCCUUUGGGAUGAUAGCAGACCCUCGGGGGUUCCUGAACGAUUCUCCGGCUCCAAGUCUGGCAGCACAGGCACCCUGACCAUCACUGGGCUCCAGGGUGAGGACGAGGCUGAUUAUUACUGCUCAGCAUGGGAUGAUAGUCUGAGAGCUCACACAGAGCUCCAGGCCCGUGGGGAAGUGAGACAAAAACGUGCUGUCCCCACAGAAAUGGGACUUGCUGUGUAGCCAUGACAUUUUGGCCCCAUCGGCUGUUUCUUUGUUUGAUAUCAGCUGAGGUCUGUCACCCGCCUCAAAGAAUUUGUCUACAAAUCUUUCCACAUCCUCUUAAAUUUCUCCUUGAAGCCUGUCCUGGGGAGCAAGAUAUUUUCUGAUUUUCUCAAACUGAGCGCAAAUUCCUGGGUGCCAGAAACAGGCCACCCUGAGGACAGUGACCAUGUCACGUUAGGGCAGAAACAGGGUCACAAAAUCCAGAGUAUCUAUGGCUGAUUCGUACAUUUGGGUCUUUUGAAAUGAGUCCCUGUCCGUUCCCAUCCGUGCUGAGAUCCAACCAGUGAUUUUUGGUAUCCACUUGCUAUUUGUUAUUCACUUUGUUAAUACUUACUUGCAGAAGGAUGUUGAAUGAUAAUGGUGUUUAGGUCACAUUAGCCUGUUCACCUUGUAGAAAUGUCCUCCCCUCCACCACCCCAUUAUUUAAUUCCCUGGUUGUGGGAGUGAGUUCUAUAUGUGUAGGAGAGAAUGUGCUAUCACAAUAUAAAGGCUUCUAUCUGUUUCCAUUUUAUGUGGUUUUUAUUAGGACUUUGCUUUCAAUUUUUCAAAGAAUCUUUCAAGGUCUACUGAGAUCAUGGGAUUUUCAUCUGUUUAUUUACUAAUAUGAUGCCUUAUCUUAGAAGAUCUAUUAAUACGGAAUCCCACUCUAUAUUUGCAAUAAAUCACGUAUAGUCACUUUA